GGGGAAUUUUGGACAAGGGGGGCAACCCUGAUCCAGCCAUUCCGCGUGAGUGAAGAAGGCGUUCGGGUUGUAAAGCUCUUUCGGCAGGAACGAAACGGCGGGCUCUAACAUAGCCUGCUAAUGACGGUACCUGAAGAAGAAGCACCGGCUAACUACGUGCCAGCAGCCGCGGUAAUACGUAGGGUGCGGGCGUUAAUCGGAAUUACUGGGCGUAAAGCGUGCGCAGGCGGUUUUGUAAGACAGAUGUGAAAUCCCCGGGCUUAACCUGGGAACCGCGUUUGUGACUGCAAGACUUGAGUGCGGCAGAGGGGGGUGGAAUUCCACGUGUAGCAGUGAAAUGCGUAGAGAUGUGGAGGAACACCGAUGGCGAAGGCAGCCCCCUGGGUCGACACUGACGCUCAUGCACGAAAGCGUGGGUAGCAAAC
RNAcentral lists this ribosomal RNA (425 nucleotides) under uncultured bacterium. RNAcentral's name for it is "bacterial SSU rRNA". It matches the Rfam family "Bacterial small subunit ribosomal RNA", at positions 356 to 773 of the family's 1533-position model. The record is from RNAcentral.